Molecule: unclassified non-coding RNA, 262 nt
Filed under: uncultured Chaetothyriales
Lineage: Eukaryota; Fungi; Ascomycota; Eurotiomycetes; Chaetothyriales
Description: sequence contains 5.8S rRNA gene, ITS2, 28S rRNA gene
Rfam family: 5.8S ribosomal RNA (bases 1-52)
Source: RNAcentral
AACGCACAUUGCGCCCAUUGGUAUUCCGAUGGGCAUGCCUGUUCGAGCGUCAUUAUCCUCCCUCAAACCUCGGGUUUGGUGUUGGACCGGGUUGUUCGCCUGAACAACUGGUCUGAAAGACAAUGACGGCGUCCGUGGGACCCUCGGUGCAACGAGCUUCUUUGUGAGCACGCGUCGAGUUUCAAGGACCUUCCGGGCCGGUCUCCCUUAUUACUCUUCUAAGGUUGACCUCGGAUCAGGUAGGAAUACCCGCUGAACUUAA